This 366-nucleotide ribosomal RNA is filed under the name uncultured bacterium. RNAcentral describes it as "bacterial SSU rRNA". It matches the Rfam family "Bacterial small subunit ribosomal RNA", at positions 29 to 423 of the family's 1533-position model. The record is from RNAcentral.
AACGAACGCUGGCGGCAGGCCUAACACAUGCAAGUCGAACGCUCCGCAAGGGGGAGUGGCGCACGGGUGAGUAACACGUGGGAACCUACCUUCUGGUACGGAACAACCAAGGGAAACUUUGGCUAAAACCGUAUACGACCUCCGGGUGAAAGAUUGAUCGCCGGAAGAGGGGCCCGCGUCCGAUUAGGUAGUUGGUGAGGUAACGGCUCACCAAGCCUACGAUCGGUAGCUGAUCUGAGAGGAUGACCAGCCACACUGGGACUGAGACACGGCCCAGACUCCUACGGGAGGCAGCAGUGGGGAAUAUUGGACAAUGGGCGCAAGCCUGAUCCAGCCAUGCCGCGUGAGUGAUGAAGGCCUUCGGUU